AGCGAACGCUGGCGGUAGGCCUAACACAUGCAAGUCGAACGGACGCACCGUAAGUGCUUGCUGUCACGGGUGGAGCGUGUCGGAAGGGUGCGGUAUGCAUCGGAUUCUACUUUUUAGUUGGGGCUAAUGUCGGGAGACUUACGCUAGUACCACAUACGACCUCCGGGUGAAAGCAGGGGAUCUUCGGACCUUGCGCGGUGGUAUGGGCCGAUGUCGGAUUCGCUAGUUGGCGGGGCAGAGGGACACCACGGCCACGAUCGGUAGCUGGUCUGAGAGGAUGAUCAGCCACACUGUCACGGAGGCACGCCCCACACUCCGACGCGAGGCAGCAGUGCGGAAUAUUGGACAAUGGGCGCAAGCCUGAUCCAGCCAUACCGCGUGGGUGAAGAAGGCCUUCGGGUUGUAAAGUCCUGUUGUUGGGAGAGAAAAGCAGCACUUUAAUACCCCGCGGUUCUGACGGUACCCAAAGAAGAAGCACCGGCUAACUUCGUG
Molecule: ribosomal RNA, 492 nt
Filed under: uncultured bacterium
Lineage: Bacteria
Description: partial 16S ribosomal RNA
Rfam family: Bacterial small subunit ribosomal RNA
Source: RNAcentral